RNAcentral lists this ribosomal RNA (454 nucleotides) under uncultured bacterium. Its description in RNAcentral is "bacterial SSU rRNA". It matches the Rfam family "Bacterial small subunit ribosomal RNA", at positions 335 to 784 of the family's 1533-position model. The record is from RNAcentral.
ACUCCUACGGGAGGCAGCAGUGGGGAAUAUUGCACAAUGGGCGCAAGCCUGAUGCAGCCAUGCCGCGUGUAUGAAGAAGGCCUUCGGGUUGUAAAGUACUUUCAGCAGUGAGGAAGGUGGGUAUGUUAAUAGCAUACUCAUUUGACGUUAGCUGCAGAAGAAGCACCGGCUAACUCCGUGCCAGCAGCCGCGGUAAUACGGAGGGUGCGAGCGUUAAUCGGAAUUACUGGGCGUAAAGCGCAUGCAGGUGGUUGUUAAGUCAGAUGUGAAAGCCCGGGGCUCAACCUCGGAAUUGCAUUUGAAACUGGCAAACUAGAGUACUGUAGAGGGGGUAGAAUUUCAGGUGUAGCGGUGAAAUGCGUAGAGAUCUGAAGGAAUACCGGUGGCGAAGGCGGCCCCUGGACAGAUACUGACACUCAGAUGCGAAAGCGUGGGAGCGAAACAGGAUUAGAUA